RNAcentral lists this ribosomal RNA (303 nucleotides) under uncultured bacterium. Its description in RNAcentral is "partial 16S ribosomal RNA". It matches the Rfam family "Bacterial small subunit ribosomal RNA", at positions 507 to 807 of the family's 1533-position model. The record is from RNAcentral.
AGCAGUAGCCACGGUAAUACGUAGGGUGCAAGCGUUAAUCGGAAUUACUGGGCGUAAAGCGUGCGCAGGCGGUUUUGUAAGACAGGCGUGAAAUCCCCGGGCUUAACCUGGGAAUGGCGCUUGUGACUGCAAAGCUAGAGUGCGGCAGAGGGGGAUGGAAUUCCGCGUGUAGCAGUGAAAUGCGUAGAUAUGCGGAGGAACACCGAUGGCGAAGGCAAUCCCCUGGGCCUGCACUGACGCUCAUGCACGAAAGCGUGGGGAGCAAACAGGAUUAGAUACCCGCGUAGUCCCUGUCUCUUAUAC